AACCAGAGUCUGGACUUACUUGUUCUGGUAAUUAAACUUUGGGAUGGUAACACAUGGGCUGGAGGAGAUGAUCAGGUAGAAGGUAUUUCUCUAUUCACUUACCUCCAGGCCUACAAAA
RNAcentral lists this small nucleolar RNA (118 nucleotides) under Sorex araneus (European shrew). The record is from RNAcentral. Lineage: Eukaryota; Metazoa; Chordata; Mammalia; Eulipotyphla; Soricidae.